Molecule: ribosomal RNA, 254 nt
Filed under: uncultured bacterium
Lineage: Bacteria
Description: partial 16S ribosomal RNA
Rfam family: Bacterial small subunit ribosomal RNA
Source: RNAcentral
CACGUAGGGUGCGAGCGUUGUCCGGAAUUAUUGGGCGUAAAGAGCUCGUAGGCGGUGUGUCGCGUCGGCCGUGAAAACCUGCAGCUUAACUGUGGGCUUGCGGUCGAUACGGGCAUCACUGGAGUUCGGCAGGGGAGACUGGAAUUCCUGGUGUAGCGGUGAAAUGCGUAGAUAUCAGGAGGAACACCGGUGGCGAAGGCGGGUCUCUGGGCCGAUACUGACGCUGAGGAGCGAAAGCAUGGGUAGCGAACAGG